RNAcentral lists this transfer RNA (43 nucleotides) under Picochlorum sp. RCC944. RNAcentral describes it as "partial tRNA". It matches the Rfam family "tRNA", at positions 7 to 47 of the family's 71-position model. Rfam says of the family: Transfer RNA (tRNA) molecules are approximately 80 nucleotides in length. Their secondary structure includes four short double-helical elements and three loops (D, anti-codon, and T loops). The record is from RNAcentral. Lineage: Eukaryota; Viridiplantae; Chlorophyta; Trebouxiophyceae.
AGUAGCUCAGUGGUAGAGCGAUCGGCUGUUAACCGAUGGGUCG